RNAcentral lists this long non-coding RNA (2171 nucleotides) under Rattus norvegicus (Norway rat). RNAcentral describes it as "long non-coding RNA NONRATT005185". Lineage: Eukaryota; Metazoa; Chordata; Mammalia; Rodentia; Muridae. The record is from RNAcentral.
CCACUUGUGGUUUUGUGCAGGCGUGUCAUGCCUUUGUCCCCCGUAAGCAAACGUGUUUCUCCCCCUUCUUCCCAUUCCGGUGCAGUAUGUGGAGGACAACCUGGGGGUGAUGUCUGUGGGCUUCCUGCUCAGCAGCCCGGAUGAUGCUGUCAUCUGGAGGGGACCAAAGAAAAACGGUUUGUCACUGCCCCCCUGGGUCUGCCUACAUCCAGGCUGGGGGUGGGGGAUGCUGUGGGCACCCAAUGUCUUUGUGCUGUGUUAAUGCUGUUGCUUUGGUACUGGGGUGGAGCCCAGGACUUCAUGCCUACUAGUGCCCUCACCUUGGCCUGCAGCGUGUUCUGCUUCAGCAUCCCCCUCCCCGAUAAAGAAGACCAUGAGAAAUACUAGUUUUCAGUGUAGACAUUUUAUUACCUUCGGGGAGCCUUUCUACUCUUGAGACUUGCAGGAUCCCAAAGUGAUCUGUAGUGUGGCGUCCGUCACAUGGCUGGUUUGUGUCAAGGAGGGAAGUGUGGAGUGAAGACCCCUUUCUGGGGAAAGAUAUGAUGAUGCAGGCAGCACGGCUGGGCAAGCACCUUCUCGCCCUUGACACUUAAGCCACGCGACUGCUGGAACAACACGUGUGUGCCACACAUAAUGACUGUAGCGCCCCUGACUUCAUCAUGGCCACCCAACAUGUCUACAGAUCUCACCUCCUGCCCCCUGGGGACAGCAGUGUCACUGAGUUGAGGCUGAGAAUGCUCACGCACACUGAAAGAUGCUUCCGGGGAUGUAUGCCGGAAGGAAGGCACACAUUCAGCCUUGCCCACUCCCAGGUAUGAUCAAGCAGUUCCUCCGAGACGUAGACUGGGGAGACGUGGACUACCUCGUCAUAGACACCCCACCCGGCACGUCCGAUGAGCACCUCUCGGUGGUCCAGUAUCUGGCUGCCGCACACAUUGAUGGGGCGGUGAUCCUCACCACCCCUCAGGUGAGUGAGCUCUCUGAGGACUGUCCGGGCACCUCCUGGAUCACACGUGGCUUUCACUGCCCUUUGGCUGAGGGAUAACCGCUCUGUCAACUCUGCCAGGAGGUGGCCCUCCAGGAUGUUCGGAAAGAGAUCAGUUUCUGUCACAAGGUGAAGCUGCCCAUCAUUGGUGUGGUAGAGAACAUGAGUGGUUUCAUCUGCCCCAAGUGCAAGGUGAGGGUCCCCGGGGCAGGCCUAAGCACACCCUGGUCCUAGCGGGGAAACAGCAGGGACGGUUCUCUAGGGACCUGUUUCUGCUUUCCCCCCCGCUGUGUUGGGAAGGGAGGGUCCCCACCAAGCUCUCCACCACUGCCCAGGUGAAGAUGCUUCAGUCUCACAUGCAAACAAGACACUGUUUCAAAAUGUCUGAAAACUAGUGUGUCCUAGGGUGCAGAAGCAAAAUAAAGCUUCCUCCUCUUUCCGCCCCACAGAGAGAGUCUCAGAUCUUCCCUCCCACCACUGGGGGUGCAGAGGCCAUGUGCCAGGCCCUGAAGAUCCCUCUUCUGGGCAAAGUGCCGCUGGAUCCACACAUAGGCAAGAGCUGUGACAAAGGCCAGUCUUUUUUUGUUGAAGCCCCAGAUUCACCAGCCACAGCAGCCUACAAAAGUAUAAUUCAGAGUAAGUAUCUGAGACGUUGCCUGCAGGAAGUCACCUAGAGGAGCGGAGUGUGCAGAAGCAGUAGGGUGGUCUGCCAGCUUCAGCUGGAGACAGGGGUGCUUUCUGAGUCUGAGAAACGAGGGCGGGUGAAGUUCACAGCAUGGGAAAUACGUGCUGUCAAGGCCAGUAAAACCAAUGGGAAUCCUCACUGGUAAACCAAAGCAAGCCAUGGGCAGAGGUGCUAGGCGAGAACUCACCCCUCGACUUGUCUUUUAGGGAUCCGAGAGUUUUGUAAUUCUCGUCAGUCACAUGAUGAGAACCUCAUCAGCCCCUGAAGUGGGACAGAGCCAAGUGCCACCUCCUAACCACAGCGCCAGCGGGUCACGUGUCCAGCCACACCUGGUCAGCAGGAGACAGGUGGUGCCACAGCCACCAGAUGCUGACAGGAUUUGAAGUCACUUAUUAAGACUCUAUAAUCACCUAUCUGCAUAUUUCCUUAAGAUCAAAGGUACAGGCACUCUGCAUCCAGGUGCCAUUCAUCAGAAAAUAAAAAUGUCUCCUUGAACCUGUC